UUUCCGGUUGAUCCCGCCGGAGGCCACUGCUAUUGGGGUUCGACUAAGCCAUGCGAGUCUAUGGACUUCGGUCCAUGGCGGACGGCUCAGUAACACGUGGCUAACCUACCCUCAGGUGGGGGAUAACCUCGGGAAACUGAGGGUAAUACCCCAUAGGGGAAGAGGUCUGGAAUGAUCCUUCCUUGAAAGGACAUCCGCCUGAGGAUGGGGCUGCGUCCGAUUAGGUAGUUGGUGGGGUAAUGGCCCACCAAGCCUACGACCGGUACGGGCCUUGAGAGAGGAAGCCCGGAGAUGGGGACUGAGACACGGCCCCAGGCCCUACGGGGCGCAGCAGGCGCGAAACCUCCACAAUGCACGAAAGUGCGAUGGGGGAACCCCAAGUGCCUAUGCACAGCAUAGGCUUUUCCCAAGUGUAAACAGCUUGGGGAAUAAGGGCUGGGCAAGUCCGGUGCCAGCGGCCGCGGUAACACCGGCGGCCCGAGUGGUGGCCACUCUUAUUGGGCCUAAAGCGUCCGUAGCCGGUCCAGUAAGUCCCUGUUUAAAUCCUACGGCUCAACCGUAGGGUUGGCAGGGAUACUGCUGGACUUGGGACCGGGAGAGGACGAGGGUACUCCAGGGGUAGCGGUGAAAUGUGUUGAUCCCUGGAGGACCACUUAUGGCGAAGGCACUCGUCUGG
This 676-nucleotide ribosomal RNA is filed under the name uncultured archaeon. RNAcentral describes it as "bacterial SSU rRNA". It matches the Rfam family "Archaeal small subunit ribosomal RNA", at positions 1 to 683 of the family's 1478-position model. The record is from RNAcentral.